Molecule: long non-coding RNA, 1945 nt
Filed under: Theobroma cacao (cacao)
Lineage: Eukaryota; Viridiplantae; Streptophyta; Magnoliopsida; Malvales; Malvaceae
Description: long non-coding RNA (TCAC_LNC001093)
Source: RNAcentral
AAGCAUGAAGUGAAGAGGAAAGGAAAGAACACAAACCCUAGGUGGGAAAAUUGAAGAAAAAGUGUGGGAUUUAAAGGGAUUAAGCUAAUAAAGGUAAAAUUUUGUGAUUUUAUCUUGUGAUUUACACUACCCAUGCUUUCUUUUUCAUUUUCCAUGCUUAGAACUCAAGUUUGCAUGAUGAACCCAUGCUGGCCGAAUUUGAGAGGAGAGAUUUUGAGCAUUGAUUUUGCUAGAUUUCAAGCUAAUUAAGUGUUUUUGGUUGUUUGGUAAUGGAAAGUACGAAAAUCUAGCAAGGAAUCACUUUGUUCUUCACAAACCCACAAGAGGCUGAAUUUUCUAGGGAGGAUAUUGAGGCUAAAAUUGAUGAUAUUUCAUGAGAUUCUAGUGGUAUUUAAUGAUUGGUGAGGCUAGAAAUUUAAUACAAAUUUUGGCAUGAAAAUCUGAAUUUUUACCUAAUGUACAAACAUGUGCAAUUUAUGGUUCGGACUGAUUAAUUGAAUCAUAUUCACAGUCAUUGAGGUAUUUAAAGUAUAAUUGAAGUGUAGAAAGUGAAAGAAAUUGAUUUGCAGUUAAAUUGGAGGUUUUAGCCAAUUACACCGAGAAUAACGCGAAUUAGGUCAAAUAUCGUAUUUAAACGGCUAUUCGAACAUUUUGCAUCACAUUUUGUGCAUUCAUAUAGAUUUAUAAAGCCUGAAAUAGUUUAUGAUAAGUUGACACAAUUUAUUGAAAUUUGUGUCACGUAUGAUGUAUAGGUGGUGAGCCCUCUAACAAAGGUAAAGAGAUUGUGCCCAAAGAUCGGGAAUAGGAGUAUAUCGAACUCCUAGUACUAUGAGUAACCUUACUAUCGUCUUAAUUAUCUAAAGUGAUUUUUAUUCGAUUUUGUGAAUUUCAUGGAAAAUGAAUUAAAUGAUUAAUUUUUUCGAUUUUAUAAACCAAAUGUGAUUUAAUGAAAUGAUUUCAUAAAAUUGUUUUAAAAUUGAAUAAUGGCUUUGAAAAUAGAGUAAUUGGAGACCAUUUGAUGUAUUAUGAAUUUAUGGUUCUAAUUGAUUAGCUUAUGACAAUAUUGGCAUGAAUGGCUAAAUUGGUGUUUGUGUUGAAAUGUAUAAACUGUUGUUUGCCUUGAUAGGCUGGAUAAUGGUAAAAUUGCCAUGUUAUGCUGUUGAAUUUUUAUUGUUUGGUGGGUUUAGCUUGUUGCAGUGGGCUGGUUCUGUGGACUAGCCUAUUAGAGGGGCACGAAACCUGGUCAUAUUCUUACCUCGGUUGGAAAGACGAGUAGGGUAACUCCUGAGGUAUAACUUUAAGGUUCACUUCACCUUAAACCACCUCGUGAUGAUGAACUCCGCUAACGCCAAGGAACGGCUAUGUUUUUAAAAUAAAAACAUGAUUUAUGCGUACAUAACUUUUUAACAGCCUUGGCGGUCUCGAUUGGGAUAGCCCUCGAUCAAGGCAUCCCUGAUAACUGAGUAUAAAAAUGAUUUUGGCAAUAGCCAAAGCUUUUAAGAAAUUCAUAAGCCAUGUUAAUUACUUGAUUUAUAUGAAUUAAUUUUAUUUGGUUGAAACAAGUUGAAAGGUGAUGAAUUUCAGUAUGUUAAACUGUUUUAUCUGUCUCCAUUUACUCGACUUUAGAUAGUUUAGAUGGUAUCUGUUUACUCAUUGGGAUUUUAUAAUCUCACCACCCUCCUUUUCAACUAUUUCAGGCCUGAGGUAGCCUGUGGAUAGCAGAUAUCGUCAAGGAUUAUAGUUAGCUUUACUACUCCAAAAACUGUAGGUUUACUACCUUUGUGCACUUUUGUUCCUUGUGGGCCCACGAGUCACUGUAAAGUAAAUUUCAUAUCCCGGUUAUCUGUAUUAUAGUACGUAUGAAUUUAUUUAGCUUUUACAUUACAAAAAUUAUUUACCGAUGACUCUCUAAAUAUUGUUUUACAAGAAAUUAGAAUAUUUUAUU